GCGGCGGUUCCCUAGCCCGGUAGGGGGGUGGCCUGCUAAGCCACUGGCCCAUUGGGCCGCGCGGGUUCAAAUCCCGCCCGCCGCG
RNAcentral lists this transfer RNA (85 nucleotides) under Nitrososphaeria archaeon. RNAcentral's name for it is "tRNA-Ser". It matches the Rfam family "tRNA". From Rfam's summary of the family: Transfer RNA (tRNA) molecules are approximately 80 nucleotides in length. Their secondary structure includes four short double-helical elements and three loops (D, anti-codon, and T loops). The record is from RNAcentral. RNAcentral also lists the same sequence under 1 other name. Lineage: Archaea; Thermoproteati; Nitrososphaerota; Nitrososphaeria.